CAAGGAAUAGCGUUUCGUGUAGAUGAUCGGGAUGAAAAUAAAAAUUUUAGACAGUUGGUCUACUUUAUGUCGAGACAUAGUUUGGUACUUAAGCGGUGGUUAAGCAACACGAAACUUAGAAAAUAUCACGUGACAUAUAUAAGUGCUAAAUCCCAAAAUAAUUUCAUUCAUUUGCUUGGACAAGAUGUUCAAAGCAAAGUUGUUUUCGAAGUUAAUCAAGCAUCAAUGUUUUCAAUUAUGGCAGAUAAAACUCCUGAUGCGUCACACAGUGAUAAGUUAGCAAUUGCUGUUAGGUACGUUAGGUACGUGGAUAAUAACUGUAGUAUUAAAGAAAGAAUUUUGCAGGUAUGCGAGUGACAACUGACAAAACAGGUAAUGGAAUUGCAAACUUAAUAAUAUCGAUAAUCAAAAACAUUCAACUUGAUGUCAAUAGUGUUAUGUUUCAUGGAUACGAUUACGCCAGCUCUAUGUCUAGAAACUUUAAAAGAGUUCAUGCAAAAAUUUCAGAAAAGCUCAAACAACUUAUACCUUAUAUUCCAUGCCAAGCUCAUCAAACUGACACUUUUGUUGAGCAUGCGGUUAAAAGAAAUAAUAUGGCUGCAAAUGUUUUCGAUGUUCUUGAAAUAUGCUACAUAUUUUUUUCUUCAAGAACAAAACGAUUCAACUUACUUAAUUCUAAACUUGGGUUCAUUGAAAAUUGGCUACAAUACAAUCUCUUGAACGAAUUAGAAAAGAUGAAUUUGAUGUGCAUCGCAAAAUUGAUGCCGCAAUUAAAAUAUAUGUAGUAAGCAUGAAAUCGAUGCAUUCAAAGUAUAUGAAGAUCAUCAUAGACGACGAUCAAUUCCAAAACGCAAUGAUGACAAUCCUGAGACUCCAUGUUCUAUAAAUAUUUAUCAGUACUACACCCAAUAACUUAAUUGCGUAUUAGACUGUCUUAUUAACGAAAUGAAAGAAAAUUUACUUACUUCAUGGUUAAGCAGUGAAUCAUUUUCUCUUCUCCAGUAGUCAACAAAAACCUUCACGAUAAAAGACGUUAAAAAACUGUGCCUUUUAAUGCUAAUAAAUGGGGAAAAAAUAGAUGCUCAUUUAUUUCAUGCAGAAUUAGAAAUUUUUAUGAACACAUUUACUGAAUCUGAUGCUCCAACAAACAAUGAAAAAUUAAAACUAUCGUGGCAAAAACAAAAAUUUUUCCAAGAAUUUUCAAAGCUUUCCAGCUAAUGGCUUCAGCACCAGUGUCUGUUGAAAGCGAUGAAAAAACAUUUAGCAAAUUAAAAAUUGUUAACUUUUAACUAUGUCAGAUGCUAGAUUAGAUUCAUUAAUUUUGUUGGCGUCAGAAAAAGAUUUAGUUGACAUGUUGGUAAAAAAGUGAUCUUUAACAACACAAAGACGUGUUAAAAUUGAGUAACUGAUUAUAUUUUUCAAUAAGUUUAGCUGUACUGACGAAUUCGCCCCAUGACUUGAUGAUGAAAAAAUCAAGUUCUACGCUAAAGUAAUUUUAGAAUUUAUUUUGAUUCAAUACAUUAACAGAGUAGAGACCCUAAUUGAUAAAAAAAAGUUAAACUAGAAAAAAUAACUUAUUUAUAUGUGAAUUCAUUUUGUUGAAGUAAAACAUGACGAACUCGCCAUAUCUGGAUUUCUGAAAUGUGAUUUGGAGCAUUGGAUGCAUUUGUUGCAUUUGUUUGUCUUUCAACUAUUGUCUUGAAAGAAAAACAUGGUUAAAACAAGAGGUUGGGGAUGUAGAUCAUCACCAAGAUUUCACCGGAUGUUGGUUGGAAAGAUUGUUUCUGUAACAGAGGCUACAAUACUUUAUAAUACAACUCAUCUUCAUAAUGGUAUAACUCCUUCAACAUCUGGUAGUAGUACUCUUGACAUUUGUCAAAUGAAACAGCUACCAACAAUUGAUGUUUCUUUAUUUUGUAUCGAUGGUUCCAAUUAUUUCAUUGAUCAAUCAGUCACUGUUAAGAAACGGGGCAAAUUCCUGAAAUGGAGUGAAGAAAAUUUGAUGAGUGCAAUUGCAUGUCAGAUCAGAGCCAUUGCUUCAGCUUGGGAAAAAGCAAUGACCUCUAGCAACAUUACAUCUGGGUUCAAGUCAUCCAUUUAAUCCUCAGGCUAUUCCUAGUGAUGCAUAUUUACCAAACUAUCCGCACAUAGCAGAGGAUAUAUCAGUUAAUAUAACUGAAAAAAAUUGCUCUUUGGAAUUCCAACCAUCAAUAGUUCAAGAAAUUAAAUUUUCUGACGUUGAUGCUUCUAUAGAAAAAAGUUGCUAAUUAUCUAGAACAAUUACAAAAUGGCACUGAAGAAGAAAACGCAACUCACAGUUCGUUACAAAGUAACAUUUCUAUUUUGGAAGCAGAGACUGUUGUUCGUAUUAAUCAGCUUGCAUAUUUAGUCAAUCCAGUUGAAGAAAAAAAUGUUGACUGCAUUGUGAACCAUCUUAGAACCAUCAAACUUUAAUUCUACUAAAGUUUAAUAUUUUCCGUUGGCAAACUCUUCAUGGCAAGUCAAUCAUUUUACAUUUAUUUUUAAUUUCAUUUGAACAAUGCAACUUUUAAUAAAUUUUUAGUUUUAAAAUAAUUCAAGUUUUUUAAAAUUAUUUAAAUACUUGUUCUUUUAUUGAAUAUAUAUGAAUAUGAUGUCUUGGCAUACCCUAAAGCCACCGCACAGAAAAAGAUAGCAAACAGCUUAAAUACUUCGUUUUAACUUCUCAAGAAGCAUAUUCAGCAAAGCUGAAAUAUCACCAAGACAAAAUCCAACAGGAAAGAGAAAAAUACGAAAGAAAACAACUGCAAUUUGUUAAUCCUGCUAAGCGACUCAAAGAUAAAGAAGAAAAAAAGGUAUUGGCUAAAAAAAAAAAAUUAGAAAAUCAGGCCAACAAGUCUAUGGCAACAACAAAAAAGAAGUUUAUCAUCUGAAUUGCAACCAUUGGUUGAUCCCGAGAACAAUACUGACUAAUAUAAUACUCUAAUGGUCUUAUUUGUGAUACGACGUAAUAGUAAAAAGCACCGCCACAAGAGCCCAUUUAAUGAGUUGGCUCCCCAUUUUGAACUUUACCAAUAAUCUAUCAGUAUUUCGAGCAGGAUUCGAACUCGCAACUCUUAUACAAUGAGUACCAUGCUCUAAUCACGGCUGCUCAAUAUAAAAAUUCAUGACCGGGGCAAAAAGAAGACAAUAUUUGUCAUAUCACUACGGCUCGUAAGCAUUGAUGUGUUGUUGUUAUACUUUAUUUACACAUUUUACAAUUACAGUUGAGAUUGAUCUCAGAAUACAGAUUCAAGUAAGGAUCUAGGGAGAAAAUUUGCAUUCACAAAGACCCCAUGGUUUUAUACUUUUCUAAUUAAAAUGGUGCAAUUGAGCAUAGAAAUUAACUAAUGAGAUUUAAUCUCACUCACCAGUAUACAACGUCGUCUUAGACAAGUAUAUGUUCUUUUUUAAUUUACACAGUGGGCGACUUUAAAUCAAUAUGACGAGAUUGAGUUCAAGUGGACGAGAAUCAGUGCUUUUGACACACUAUACAAUUUAUAAUGGUACUGCCAACUACUCUCAUAAAAUCUAAAUAAUUUUUCAUGUUUUGUAGCUGAAGGAAUAAGUUAUCUAAUAAUGUAUAGUUCAGCUGUGCAAGUCUCAUUAUAGCGUGUUAACAUCAAUUUCAGUGCGGAUGUGAGCGAGGUUCGAUUAAGUUACCCAGAAAUAAAUCAGAAAAUUUAAGGCAUAGUAAAGAUACAAUCAACAAAUUUCAACUUUCAACCUAACAAGAAAAACUUGAAAUUUUCGGAAAUCGUUUUUUAUUUGAUUUUAAUUAAAAAAAUUUCGUAAUUUCAUCCCUGUGAAAAAGCAUUGAAAUGUAUUUGGAUUUUUAUAUGUAAUAACUACAUUAAAAAAUAUAACGGUGUAGGUUGAU
This is a long non-coding RNA of Hydra vulgaris (swiftwater hydra), 3898 nucleotides long. RefSeq lists it as uncharacterized. The record is from RefSeq and is a predicted model, not a curated record. NCBI's taxonomy places the organism in Eukaryota, Metazoa, Cnidaria, Hydrozoa, Anthoathecata, Hydridae.